This 1169-nucleotide long non-coding RNA is filed under the name Numida meleagris (helmeted guineafowl). Its description in RNAcentral is "lncRNA (ENSNMEG00000010676.1)". Lineage: Eukaryota; Metazoa; Chordata; Aves; Galliformes; Numididae. The record is from RNAcentral.
CUUCAACCAUUAAGGUUGUGUAAAGUGUUUGAUGGUGUCCGUCACCUCCACCUCCAUUAAGAGUUUUGAGGCCAGAAGCAGCAGUAACUAAUUGUGUGAUACAGCUAUCUAAAUCUGUAUUUAAAACAAGAAUGGCUGUAGAACAGUAAAUGUAGAAUUGGCUAUUUACUUUAAUGCCAUGUCCUAGAUAUUUGAAGGACACUGCUCAGAAUGAGCUGUUAUUUCUGUCUUAUGGUACCAUUUUUUCCAAUUAUACUUCAGGUUUUCUGGAAGAUAUUCUGAAGAGAAUAAUGGUUGCAAGCAAUGAGGAUGAUGGAUCUCACAGGAUUCAAACUGAUAUCUUUAUAAAAAAGAACAUUGUAAAACGUGAAUCUUCUCCAGGAAAUCCAGGAUCCUCAGGCUUCUGGAGUUCCUGCUGUUUCUGCUCAUGUCAUUGUGACAUUUCCCAUGGAAUCCAGCUCUGGACUUCAGGUGUAAGAAAACAUCCUCCUCUGGAUGCCACUUCAGUGAACAAUUUAUUGUGGGGAAAGGAGAGGAGUCAUUGUUCUUCUAAGCUUUACUAUCUGUGACAGUCACUAAACAGUGAGUAGCACUGUUUUUUUCAAGUCCACAAAAGGAGAGCAAUUGUGGUAGACCAAGAAGUGAUAGUAAGACCACUGACUCAUGAUUACUAUCAGCAGUAUUUUUUAGACCUCUAGUCCUCUUUGCCUGUUGCAACCCCAAAAUAGAGCAGUUGGUGGAAUCUGAAUUCUUUCAGAGUCCUCUGUGAGUAAACCAGCAGUAGCAAAUCUCGUUCCCUUCUGGGAACAGCCAAAGCAGAGAAUACAAAGUAAUAAUGCUCUGUCUGCCCUUCAUGAUCAAUCCAGAGGAGCAACCUCUUCCUUCUCAUGGGUGUUCAUUUGCAGGAGGAUAGAAUGUCUUGUGAAGGAUUCCAUUUCCACUGCAAACAUGACUUUGGCCAUAACCAGGAGCGUCAUAUGUAUUUCAGUAGAUCCCUUCAGGAUCUCACUGAAAUUUGGGUUCAUUUUUUUGUCAGGAAUCAUGUUACCUCUCCUCAAGGGACAGUCUUGCUGUGGUUUUCCUGCAGUUCCUUCAAUUACUAGUGCAAGAACACUGGUGAGAUCUUUAUCCUGUUUAUCAUGCUGUACUUGAGGCUAGGAGGAUGCAGA